AGGAAGGGCAUGCAGACGGUGACAGGUUUUACAGUCAUCCCUCGCCUGAUUUGAUCUCCCAGUUUAGCACCGUAGGCUUCAGCAUCCAGUCAGAGACUGAACCUCCACAGCAGACUGACAGAGCAGCGAAUCCGCCUCCUACAAACACAGUCAGACGUCAAACACCUGGGAUCAGAGGUCAAAGGGGAUUGCACGGUUUACCUGGUCUACCGGGACCUAAGGGAGAUAAAGGAUACCCAGGCGUGAUGGGCAGGACCGGGCAGACUGGAUACAGAGGCCCCGUUGGUCCAGCUGGGAUGCCGGCUAUUGUUGUGUUUAAAACUUCUGAAGAAGAGUGGGAGGCUUUCAAGAAAAAGCAAAUUUACAAAAAGCUGGUGUCCUCGUGGCCGAGACUUAAAGGGCCUCCGGGUCCUCCCGGACCUCCUGGAGAUGAUGGACCAAUUGGACUACCUGGAAUUCCUGGAAAGCAAGGACCUAAAGGAGUUCAAGGAAUCAUCGGCAGUCCUGGUCCACAGGGUAUCCUGGGUCCCCCGGGCCGACCUGGAAGAGACGGGACCCCAGGACACAAUGCUGACCCGGGCCCUUCAGGUUUACCUGGAGAGCAGG
Astatotilapia calliptera (eastern happy) is the source of this 606-nucleotide long non-coding RNA. The record is from Ensembl. Lineage: Eukaryota; Metazoa; Chordata; Actinopteri; Cichliformes; Cichlidae.